GGGGAAUAUUGCACAAUGGGGGAAACCCUGAUGCAGCGACGCCGCGUGAGUGAAGAAGGUUUUCGGAUUGUAAGGCUCUGUUAGCAGGGAAGAGGAAGGACGGUACCUGCAGAGGAAGCCACGGCUAACUAC
RNAcentral lists this ribosomal RNA (132 nucleotides) under uncultured bacterium. Its description in RNAcentral is "partial 16S ribosomal RNA". It matches the Rfam family "Bacterial small subunit ribosomal RNA", at positions 356 to 504 of the family's 1533-position model. The record is from RNAcentral.